GACGAACGCUGGCGGCGUGCCUAAUACAUGCAAGUCGAGCGAUGAAGAUUGGUGCUUGCACCAAUUUGAAGAGCAGCGAACGGGUGAGUAACGCGUGGGGAAUCUGCCUUUGAGCGGGGGACAACAUUUGGAAACGAAUGCUAAUACCGCAUAACAUCUUUAAACAUAAGUUUUAAGUUUGAAAGAUGCAAUUGCAUCACUCAAAGAUGAUCCCGCGUUGUAUUUGCUAGUUGGUGAGGUAAAGGCUCACCAAGGCGAUGAUACAUAGCCGACCUGAGAGGGUGGUCGGCCACAUUGGGACUGAGACACGGCCCAAGCUCCUACGGGGGGCAGCAGUAGGGGAUCUUCGGGAAUGGACGGAAGGCUGGCCGGGGAACGCCGCGUGAGUGAAGAAGGGUUUCGGAUCGUAAAACUCUGUUGGUAGAGAAGAACGUUGGUGGGAGUGAAAAGCUCAUCAAGUGACGGUAACUAACCAGAAAGGGACGGCUAACUACGUG
Molecule: ribosomal RNA, 497 nt
Filed under: uncultured bacterium
Lineage: Bacteria
Description: partial 16S ribosomal RNA
Rfam family: Bacterial small subunit ribosomal RNA
Source: RNAcentral